This 567-nucleotide ribosomal RNA is filed under the name uncultured bacterium. RNAcentral's name for it is "partial 16S ribosomal RNA". It matches the Rfam family "Bacterial small subunit ribosomal RNA", at positions 355 to 1375 of the family's 1533-position model. The record is from RNAcentral.
UGGGGAAUAUUGCACAAUGGGCGAAAGCCUGAUGCAGCGACGCCGCGUGAGGGAUGACGGCCUUCGGGUUGUAAACCUCUUUCAGCAGGGAAGAAGCGAAAGUGACGGUACCUGCAGAAGAAGCGCCGGCUAACUACGUGCCAGCAGCCGCGGUAAUACGUAGGGCGCAAGCGUUGUCCGGAAUUAUUGGGCGUAAAGAGCUCGUAGGCGGUUAGUCGCGUCUGCUGUGAAAACUCGAGGCUCAACCUCGGGCUUGCAGUGGGUACGGGCUGACUAGAGUGCGGUAGGGGUGACUGGAAUUCCUGGUGUAGCGGUGGAAUGCGCAGAUAUCAGGAGGAACACCGAUGGCGAAGGCAGGUCACUGGGCCGCAACUGACGCUGAGGAGCGAAAGCAUGGGGAGCGAACAGGAUUAGAUACCCUGGUAGUCCAUGCCGUAAACGUUGGGCACUAGGUGUGGGUCCAUUCCACGGAUUCCGUGCCGCAGCAAACGCAUUAAGUGCCCCGCCUGGGGAGUACGGCCGCAAGGCUAAAACUCAAAUGAAUUGACGGGGUCAUAGCUGUUUCCU